Molecule: ribosomal RNA, 468 nt
Filed under: uncultured bacterium
Lineage: Bacteria
Description: partial 16S ribosomal RNA
Rfam family: Bacterial small subunit ribosomal RNA
Source: RNAcentral
GACGAACGCUGGCGGCGUGCUUAACACAUGCAAGUCGAACGGAAAGGCCCUGCUUUUGUGGGGUGCUCGAGUGGCGAACGGGUGAGUAACACGUGAGUAACCUGCCCUUGACUUUGGGAUAACUUCAGGAAACUGGGGCUAAUACCGGAUAGGAGCUCCUGCUGCAUGGUGGGGGUUGGAAAGUUUCGGCGGUUGGGGAUGGACUCGCGGCUUAUCAGCUUGUUGGUGGGGUAGUGGCUUACCAAGGCUUUGACGGGUAGCCGGGCUAAGAGGGUGACCGGCCACAGUGCGACAGAGAUACGGCCCAGUCCCCAACGGAGGGCAGCAGUGGGGAAUGUGACACAAUAGGCGGACGCCAAAUCCAGCAACGCCGCGUACGGGAUGACGGACGUCCGGUGGUAAAACACUUUCGCCUAUAACGAGGAGGGAAAGACGGUAAUGGGUUAAGAAGCACCGGCUGACUACGUG